GACAAGGCCUGACUCGGUGGUCCCGGGCUCAGCAGCUCCUCGUCAUGGCCAUCUCCAGUGACAUGGCCGGUGGGUAGACCCCCAUCUUCCGCCGUUGUUAUUCUCUUUGCCUCGACCCCUCAUGCCACCGUAAUCAGGAAGAUUUUGAUGAAUUUAGUGAUGUCGAGGAUCUCUAUAGCACAUUGCCUAUGGAGAAGGUUGAAGCACUCGAAGACAUGGUUUCACUUGCUCCUUCCAGUCUUAUCAAGGGUGUUGCUGCUGUUUCCACUACUGCAGUUUUGAGGACGAAGAGUCCGACAGCAACUUC
Molecule: long non-coding RNA, 307 nt
Organism: Hordeum vulgare subsp. vulgare (domesticated barley)
Lineage: Eukaryota; Viridiplantae; Streptophyta; Magnoliopsida; Poales; Poaceae
Exons: 3
Source: RefSeq, a predicted model, not a curated record